UACAGAGGUCUCGAGCGUUAGGCGGAAUCACUGGGCUUAAAGCGUGUGUAGGCGGAUCGUUAAGUACCUUGUGAAAUCCCACGGCUUAACCGUGGAACUGCUUGGUAUACUGGCGGUCUUGAGCCAGCUAGGGGCGACCGGAACAAAUGGUGGAGCGGUGAAAUGCGUAGAUAUCAUUUGGAACGCCAAUGGUGAAAACAGGUCGCUGGGGCUGUGCUGACGCUGAGACACGAAAGCCAGGGGAGCAAACGGGG
This 254-nucleotide ribosomal RNA is filed under the name uncultured bacterium. RNAcentral describes it as "partial 16S ribosomal RNA". It matches the Rfam family "Bacterial small subunit ribosomal RNA", at positions 524 to 777 of the family's 1533-position model. The record is from RNAcentral.